AACUCGCUGUGAAGAUGCAGUGUACCCGCGGCAAGACGGAAAGACCCCGUGAACCUUUACUAUAGCUUGACACUGAACAUUGAGCCUUGAUGUGUAGGAUAGGUGGGAGGCUUUGAAGUGUGGACGCCAGUCUGCAUGGAGCCGACCUUGAAAUACCACCCUUUAAUGUUUGAUGUUCUAACGUUGACCCGUAAUCCGGGUUGCGGACAGUGUCUGGUGGGUAGUUUGACUGGGGCGGUCUCCUCCUAAAGAGUAACGGAGGAGCACGAAGGUUGGCUAAUCCUGGUCGGACAUCAGGAGGUUAGUGCAAUGGCAUAAGCCAGCUUGACUGCGAGCGUGACGGCGCGAGCAGGUGCGAAAGCAGGUCAUAGUGAUCCGGUGGUUCUGAAUGGAAGGGCCAUCGCUCAACGGAUAAAAGGUACUCCGGGGAUAACAGGCUGAUACCGCCCAAGAGUUCAUAUCGACGGCGGUGUUUGGCACCUCGAUGUCGGCUCAUCACAUCCUGGGGCUGAAGUAGGUCCCAAGGGUAUGGCUGUUCGCCAUUUAAAGUGGUACGCGAGCUGGGUUUAGAACGUCGUGAGACAGUUCGGUCCCUAUCUGCCGUGGGCGCUGGAGAAUUGAGGGGGGCUGCUCCUAGUACGAGAGGACCGGAGUGGACGCAUCACUGGUGUUCGGGUUGUCAUGCCAAUGGCACUGCCCGGUAGCUAAAUGCGGAAGAGAUAAGUGCUGAAAGCAUCUAAGCACGAAACUUGCCCCGAGAUGAGUUCUCCCUGACUCCUUGAGAGUCCUGAAGGAACGUUGAAGACGACGACGUUGAUAGGCCGGGUGUGUAAGCGCAGCGAUGCGUUGAGCUAACCGGUACUAAUGAACCGUGAGGCUUAACCUUACAACGCCGAAG
RNAcentral lists this ribosomal RNA (898 nucleotides) under Escherichia coli. RNAcentral's name for it is "partial 23S ribosomal RNA". It matches the Rfam family "Bacterial large subunit ribosomal RNA", at positions 2045 to 2925 of the family's 2925-position model. Lineage: Bacteria; Pseudomonadati; Pseudomonadota; Gammaproteobacteria; Enterobacterales; Enterobacteriaceae. The record is from RNAcentral.